RNAcentral lists this ribosomal RNA (376 nucleotides) under uncultured organism. RNAcentral describes it as "partial 16S ribosomal RNA". It matches the Rfam family "Bacterial small subunit ribosomal RNA", at positions 527 to 896 of the family's 1533-position model. The record is from RNAcentral.
GGAGGGGGCAAGCGUUAUUCGGAAUUACUGGGCGUAAAGCGCGUGUAGGCGGUCACGCAAGUCAGGUGUGAAAUCCCUUGGCUCAACCAAGGAACUGCGCUUGAAACUGCGUGACUUGAGUACGGGAGAGGAGAGUGGAAUUCCCAGUGGAGCGGUGAAAUGCGUAGAUAUUGGGAGGAACACCGGUGGCGAAGGCGGCUCUCUGGACCGUCACUGACGCUGAGACGCGAAAGCUAGGGGAGCGAACGGGGGAUUAGAUACCCCGGUAGUCCUAGCCGUAAACGAUGGGUACUUGGUGUAGCGGGUAUCGACCCCCUGCUGUGCCGGAGCUAACGCAUUAAGUACCCCCGCCUGGGGGAGUACGGUCGCAAGGCUG